UGUAAACAUCCUUGACUGGAAGCUGGGGUUUGGACAGCAAGGGCUUUCAGUCGGAUGUUUGCAGC
This is a microRNA precursor of Cyclopterus lumpus (lumpfish), 65 nucleotides long. Ensembl annotates it as microRNA 30e. The record is from Ensembl. Lineage: Eukaryota; Metazoa; Chordata; Actinopteri; Perciformes; Cyclopteridae.